This 76-nucleotide transfer RNA is filed under the name Candidatus Pacearchaeota archaeon. RNAcentral's name for it is "tRNA-Arg". It matches the Rfam family "tRNA". From Rfam's summary of the family: Transfer RNA (tRNA) molecules are approximately 80 nucleotides in length. Their secondary structure includes four short double-helical elements and three loops (D, anti-codon, and T loops). Further hydrogen bonds mediate the characteristic L-shaped molecular structure. tRNAs have two regions of fundamental functional importance: the anti-codon, which is responsible for specific mRNA codon recognition, and the 3' end, to which the tRNAs corresponding amino acid is attached (by aminoacyl-tRNA synthetases). tRNAs cope with the degeneracy of the genetic code in two manners: having more than one tRNA (with a specific anti-codon) for a particular amino acid; and 'wobble' base-pairing, i.e. permitting non-standard base-pairing at the 3rd anti-codon position. The record is from RNAcentral. Lineage: Archaea; Nanobdellati.
GCCUCUGUAGCUCAGCCAGGAAUAGAGCAGGACCGUCCUAAGGUCAAGGUCGUAGGUUCAAAUCCUACCAGAGGCA